UCCAAGCUUCUGAAUGACGCUUCUGGCUACAGACCUUUCCCACGUGUAGGUGGCAAAGAGAGCAUCCCCAGUAAUGUGGCCACCCAGACCAUCCUGGCUGGAAGGGGUCAGGGAAAGGGGUCAAGUCAGGGCUGUACUCUCGUGCUGGACUUCCCGGUUUUCCACCCAUUUCCAGCACAUCGCUUAGGACUGGGAGCGCUCUUUCCUCCUACCCUGGAGUCCUGCGCACCUAGACGUCUCUCAAAGGCAAGUGAAUCAAGUGCAUCUUGGCCUUACAGGACUCAGAUAACAAAACCUACUGAAGUCUGAGAUUUGAGUAUGCUGGAAAUAAUUCCCCACGAAAAUUACAAUGAGGUUGUGAGUAAGAAUUAAAGGAUACAUAAGAAAAGGCACACUUAUCUGGAAUCAGGAUGGAAACGAGUAUAGCAAGACGAAAUGGAGUAUGUUGCAUACUUCAUUGCCAGAGAAAAGGGUUUCUUGCUGGGAGAGAGUGAAAAACUUGGAAGGGCUUCUCUGCUGCCUCCUGGCUAUUUUUAGAUGGAUCCUAAGCUGUGAUGGCCUUGAAUUUCAGCCUUCAACAAACACCAAAGCACAACAAACCAAAGAAACUAAAAUUAGCACAGCUGCUUUUGUCUCUGCCCUAAAGACAGAAUGUUGGGUUACGGUAGUCAUAUAUUUCUACUUCGUUCUUUGUAAUCUUAGGUGUCAGAAUACUUUUCCCAAGUUAUGGCUUUAGCAAAGGGUGAACAUUCCCCCAAACUAUUUCUAGAAGCAAAGGUGAUGGAGUCAAACUGUUGAAUAAAAAAUUCUACCUUAACAGGAUUUGUGCAGUGUCUAUGGAAUAGCCACUGAAUCUGUGUACCCUCACACUGAAAUGAGGGUAGUGUCAAUUGAGAACUAAAUUUAAAAUGUAGUUUUAAUUUCAUUUAUGUUUAACUUAUCUGUGAUUAGAGGUUGCUAUGAGUUCAGACUUAAGACAGUAAAUAUGCUCUAAGAACAACACAUAAUUUGCUUCCACCUAAAUUAAGUAGUAGGGACAGUUUUCAUUUUUGCAAAUCUAGAUAUAUUUCCAUAGAGGCCAUUUGUUAAUCCUCUUGGGAUCUUAAAUAGCUCUAUUAUUGCAACUGUCUUCAUUUUUGUCUUGGCUAGGCUGAGGAACUUGAAGGGCUGAGCAUGUUAAUCUACAAUGAGUGUAAUUUCCAGAAUUUGCCCAAGCCCAGAGCAUCGUGAAUUACAGACUCAGGACACUGUAACUAACAAAAUUUGAUUUACAUUGCUGUGUGUUAUUUCCUCUGAUUUGACUCUAACUGUGCCUUGCUUCUUCUGUCUUGGAGUAAGUAUGCAACCUGAUUCUGAUUUUAUAAGAGCUCAGUUAGGAGACUUUCUGUAUUUAAAAGUUCUUGAACUUUUAAGUGUUGAAAUUUUUAAGACCCUGGAACUUUUAACUUUUGGACUGUUUUGUAUUAUGGCGUUAACAUAAUAUCUUAAGGACAAGAAAUGAAUAAGAUUUGGAAUAAGGUUCUGUGUUUGUGUCUCAAAGUUGACAUAUGUGGAAUGUCAUUGCUUUUGUCAACCUGACACAAACCUAGACUUACUUUGAAAGAGGGAAUAUUCACGGAGGCAUUGUUUUUCUACAGUUGGCCUGUGAGCCUGUGUGUAGGGUAUUUUCUUGAUUUUUUAUUGAUGUGGGAGAGUCCGGCUCACUCUGAGUGGUACCAUCAGUUGGCAGGUGGGCCUUGGCUUUGUUAAAAAAAAAGUCACCAAGAAAACAAUGGAAAGAAUGCUGGUAAGCAGUCUUCCUCUGUGAUCUCUGCUCCAGUCCUGCUUCCAGGUGUCUGUCCUGAGUUCCUGUCCUGAUAUUUCUGAUGUGAUAUAAAAGUGUAAG
Psammomys obesus (fat sand rat) is the source of this 1885-nucleotide long non-coding RNA. RefSeq lists it as uncharacterized. The record is from RefSeq and is a predicted model, not a curated record. The transcript is spliced from 3 exons. Lineage: Eukaryota; Metazoa; Chordata; Mammalia; Rodentia; Muridae.